This is a long non-coding RNA of Spinacia oleracea (spinach), 1848 nucleotides long. RefSeq lists it as uncharacterized. The transcript has 4 exons. Lineage: Eukaryota; Viridiplantae; Streptophyta; Magnoliopsida; Caryophyllales; Amaranthaceae. The record is from RefSeq and is a predicted model, not a curated record.
UCCUUGAGUCCUUUCUCCUUCUUGCCGUUUUUUCAAUUCAAUUACGUUAUUCUAUCUCUUUCAUAUUUCGAUUUACAUCUUUCGAUUUACAUGAAUUACUUCUGAAUUAUUGGAUUAUUUUUUUUUGUAAUUAUGUGUUUUAAUUUCUAGGGUUUGUGUAAUUUUCAUUGUUCUUUUGGCAUUUGGACGAAAUUGUGGUAAUUAUAGAACUAUUUGUCUUUAAAAUUCAUCUAAUUUCGUAAUUGCUUUUGUGAAAUUAGUUUUUUCCCCUUGUGAAUUUUGUGGUAUUGAAACUUUGUGGAUCCCAAAUUCUAUAGGGAAGUUGAUAUAUCUAUGAACCUUAAUCUUAGAAAUACUAGCAUUGAAUGUCUUCCUAGCGCCAUAACAAAAUUAGACAACCUGCAAAAUUGGACAUUAUGUGUUGCAGUCAGGUUAAAGAGUUGCCAAGAAAUUUUGUUAAAUUGGACAACCUCAAGUACUUGGUAUUUUUUUUGGGAGCGGUUUGACUGAUUUGCCGUCAGGAUUUGGGAAAUUGACAUCUUUGUAGAAGUUAGAUAAAUUCAUGAUUGGGAAAGGCAAUGGUAUAGACUCUCUUCCAGCCUUGAAUCUUGUAGGACAUUAUAUCUCUCUGUCCAGUUUUCAUACCUUGACCAAGAGUUUCUGUUAUAUCUUUUAGAGUUUGGUUUCAUAUUGUAUAUGUUCAAGUACUUUUUGUUAUAUCUCCAUAUGUUACUCAGGGGCCGUGGUCUUAAACUCUUAAUUAUUAGUUUAGAAUUCAGACUUAAAUGAAUGCUUUCGAAGAACAAUGAAUGUUUCGCUAGGAACCAUACUACUUACCCUCUUCAUAGAAUUUCCAGCGGCGGCGAAUCUGGAGGAUGUGGGAGUUCAAACAGUCAUUAUAGAGUACACAAACUGGUGUUAUUUCUGGGCACUCACCUCUACACAACAUUAGGAGACAAUGGGAGCUAUCAUCUGAUCGAACUGCACAGUACCCAUCUACCAUGUUAUUGCCAGCUGACCAUGAUGAUCGUGUGGUGCCUUUGCACUCACUUAAAUAGUUGGCUGUGUGUUCUCUGAAACUGCUGCAGUGCAUGCUUUUUCUUGUCACUAAGUGAUACCAUGCCGCACACGCCUUUCCUUUCCUAAAAUAUGUACUGUAUUAUAUUGCAGACAUUGCAACAUGUUCCUUGCACAAGCUUGGAGAAUAGCCCUCAAAAGAAUCCAAUUAUUGAUAGAACUAAGUUUAAGGCUGGUCAUGGAGCAGGACGCCCAACUCAAAAGAUGGUUGGUACCCUAUAAUGCGAGUUCGUGUUGAAAACAUCAGGAAGGCUUGAACAUAACAGCAACGAAAGAUUGGACAAACUUCAGACUGUAAGCUUCAGUGGAGUGUAGUGUGGCCCAGAAUGAUGAUCUUGAUGGUAAAUAGAGUUUUAAUCUCGCAAUGCUGCAGGGUACUUACUUAAUUACCUAAGGUGGAAUAUGCAUCAAGUCUGACAGACAAAUAGGGAGGGCAGCAGACAAAACUUGGUUUGCACGUCACUAAGUGGAGAGCGUUUCACCAAUGAGCAAAUUGAUGAAAUACGAGACAAAUGGGAAUCAUACUUCACCGAACAUUGUGUGUAAAUAACCUUUCAUCGAUCUCUUUUUGUGGAUGUUUCCUGCUAUUGAAGUCAUAUAUAAUUGCCUUAUUAUAUUUUUGGUGCAAAAUUGUAACGUACGAAGUGUAAAAGACAUGGUUACGUUCGACUUCAAACGUAACUAUUUAGUUGGUUUAUUUUUGUAAACAUAUGAUGGUGGUAUUAUAUGUAAAAAUCAAAGUUUAUUGGAAGUUAUUGGUGGUUGAUGAUA